RNAcentral lists this long non-coding RNA (576 nucleotides) under Gallus gallus (chicken). The record is from RNAcentral. Lineage: Eukaryota; Metazoa; Chordata; Aves; Galliformes; Phasianidae.
CUUUGCACGGAAUCUUCCGUACUGGCAAGGUUUUGCCAGGCUUGUUUGCCUCAAAGCUCUUUUCUUUAAAUUUCUCCUGCAGGGUCUCAGCUAACCGACAAAGCAAGGCACCAUUAUCCAAUUUCUCCAUAAAGGUUUCUGCUGUUAUUUCUCUACCCAGUAAGUUUGUGAGCCACAGGGCCAAAUCCUCUUUCAUCGGCAACAAGUUGGCCUCAUGUCUGCUGGCAAGCCACUGACUGUAUUGGUGCAUAUCAGAGAGGCCAGGCCCACGUGUUUUUGGGCUCAGAGCAGUGUACAUUGCUUAUCCACUGGUUGUACCUGUUUUAGUACUUUCCCACGCGCGCCGCGAUCUCUCCGGCCUCGUCCUCCUGCCCCUGCCUCACCCAGGGCUCCGCCGACCGGACCCGCAGCUGUGCCGGCAGGAGCGGGAGAGGUACCCAGAGCCCAGGAGACUGCCCCGCUCCGCCCCGCGUUCACCCCCCGCCGAGCCCGGCUGCGCUGUCCUCGGGGCCUCUCCGCAACGCGCAACGCGGCUGAGCUAAUAGCUUUGCCAUAAGUGCCGCGAGCGGGGCUCCC